This 601-nucleotide long non-coding RNA is filed under the name Helianthus annuus (common sunflower). RNAcentral's name for it is "sRNA HanXRQr2_Chr08g0354781". Lineage: Eukaryota; Viridiplantae; Streptophyta; Magnoliopsida; Asterales; Asteraceae. The record is from RNAcentral.
UUUGUUAUUGUAUAUAAUCUAUACAUACUAAUAAAGUAAAUUCAUCGGGGGACACAUUGUUGGCUCAUGUAAUCAUUCCUUGAAGAACAGGUGAUACAAAGCCAAAACUGGUUCUACGACAACUGAUCCCAAUAACAGUAUUUGAAUCUUAUUUCCCUCCAAUGGCAGUAGCACUCAACAACUGAUGAUGAUCCCUAAAGACUGAUUGUUUUAUAAAGACUGUUACGCAAAGCUCUGUUGGAUGCAAAGACUGUUGAAGACCAAUCAUCUGCUAAAGUCAAAGUACUACUGAAGUCAAAGGCCUGAUCAACCUUAAUGGAAAGCACUGCUCAGUCUCACCAGUGUCUUUAGAGGUUGUUAAGAUUGUUAGAUGUCACUAUCUAGGUCACGUCAGCAAAGAUGCCACAGUGUUUAGGAUUGUACUAUAAAUAGACAGUGCAUGUAUAGUUCUAUUAGCUCUUUGCACACACUUACAUCUUAUACGAACUAACAUUGUGAGCUCAGGCUAAGGGGGAGAAAGUGUUCAUGCAUGCUUAGUCGAAACAUACAUGAUGAAAACUGUUCUUUCCUUGAUUGUGUUAUAAAGUUUUUCUUCAUUCCG